CGAGCGGUAACAGAUCUAGCUUGCUGGAUGCUGACGAGCGGCGGACGGGUGAGUAAUGCAUAGGAAUCUGCCCGAUAGUGGGGGAUAACCUGGGGAAACCCAGGCUAAUACCGCAUACGUCCUACGGGAGAAAGGGGGCUCCGGCUCCCGCUAUGGGAUGAGCCUAUGUCGGAUUAGCUAGUUGGUGAGGUAACGGCUCACCAAGGCCACGAUCCGUAGCUGGUCUGAGAGGAUGAUCAGCCACAUCGGGACUGAGACACGGCCCGAACUCCUACGGGAGGCAGCAGUGGGGAAUAUUGGACAAUGGGGGCAACCCUGAUCCAGCCAUGCCGCGUGUGUGAAGAAGGCCCUCGGGUUGUAAAGCACUUUCAGCGAGGAAGAACGCCUAACGGUUAAUACCCGCUAGGAAAGACAUCACUCGCAGAAGAAGCACCGGCUAACUCCGUGCCAGCAGCCGCGGUAAUACGGAGGGUGCAAGCGUUAAUCGGAAUUACUGGGCGUAAAGCGCGCGUAGGUGGCUUGAUAAGCCGGUUGUGAAAGCCCCGGGCUCAACCUGGGAACGGCAUCCGGAACUGUCAAGCUAGAGUGCAGGAGAGGAAGGUAGAAUUCCCGGUGUAGCGGUGAAAUGCGUAGAGAUCGGGAGGAAUACCAGUGGCGAAGGCGGCCUUCUGGACUGACACUGACACUGAGGUGCGAAAGCGUGGGUAGCAAACAGGAUUAGAUACCCUGGUAGUCCACGCCGUAAACGAUGUCGACCAGCCGUUGGGUGCCUAGCGCACUUUGUGGCGAAGUUAACGCGA
This 800-nucleotide ribosomal RNA is filed under the name Halomonas sp. Its description in RNAcentral is "bacterial SSU rRNA". It matches the Rfam family "Bacterial small subunit ribosomal RNA", at positions 63 to 860 of the family's 1533-position model. Lineage: Bacteria; Pseudomonadati; Pseudomonadota; Gammaproteobacteria; Oceanospirillales; Halomonadaceae. The record is from RNAcentral.